This is a long non-coding RNA of Drosophila biarmipes, 1898 nucleotides long. RefSeq lists it as uncharacterized. The record is from RefSeq and is a predicted model, not a curated record. Lineage: Eukaryota; Metazoa; Arthropoda; Insecta; Diptera; Drosophilidae. The transcript has 3 exons.
UUAUACAAGGGGUGUUUAUUUGUUGGAAUGAUAUUCCAACAGAAUAAUAAUAUAACUGAAUUCGUGUGCGUUUUUUUGUAGGGCGUCCAGAUGCCUAGCAUUGCGAUUUUACUUUCAAACGAUGGCAGUCACGUGCUCCAUAUCUCUUCUAUCAGGGAGCAGUCAGGUGUCCAAGUCCAAAGGCAGGCGCAAAUUAUUGGACCAGGAAUCUGCAUGCCAAGUGUGACUAUUAUGAACUAGCCUCUUCCAAAAAGGCUAACAACAAAGGCUAACAAACAGUAUGACAGACCUUUUGCUCUGACAUAGAAAAAACGACUGAUGCAGCAAGACACAAGAAAAUACUUUCCAGGGCAGCCGCCCAUCUGGGCUAUCUUCAGAAAGGAAAUGUUUUACAGAAAGAACUGCAGGGGAAGCGAUCAAAGUAGAUCUCUUAUUAUCAGAAAGUAACAUUGAAUGGUGCAUUUAGAGUUUCAAACCAUAUAAAUUGCCCGGAUCGGAUGGAUUAACACAUAUCUAACAAGCAGAUCAAUUAUCUAGAAUGUAGCUGAGAAAAAUCUUCCACACCGUACUGGCUGUAGGAAAAUUGGUAACUGAAAGGAAGGCAAACCCUACUCAGCAAAGGAAUUCAGUCCAAUAAGCCUGGCAAAGACUGAUAAGACUUCACAUAAAACCCAUUAUGAACCGACAUUAUUAUACCAAAACCGAAAAGUUCGCAAGUAUCAAAAGUGUUUUGUAUAAAUUGUAUAUUAGGAAUAAAGGUUUAACACCCGCGUUUUACAAUAAAAAAUACAUUUCUUAAAUAUCUUCAAACAACGAUUGUAAUUGGAGCCCAACGUGAGGCCGCUUCAGAAAAAAAAGUUAAAAAAAUUGUUUAAUGAAAAUAAAGUUACAUAUAAACGGAGCUCGCGCGGCCAACAUCUCAACAUUUUUAGUAAAAAAUGUACACAAACAAGCACUAAAUAACAAAAAGCACAGCCCGCUGAAUCAAGAAAAACUAAAAGAGGACGGAAGGAAGGCCUCUCGCCAAUAUCUUCGCUGAGUCCAGGAACCAAGAUCAACCCACAACCUCUCAGAAGGAGGACCCCAUCGGGACAGUCUCGUGAGGAAUUAAUUAACAAUAAUAAAAAAAUAAAGAUUAUAAUUUAAGAUCAGGGAAUUUAAGAAUAUUAUACAAGAUUUACAUAAUGCUAAAAGAUGUAGCAAGAUCGCCUGUUACGUUACUGUUUAUAGUUCCAUAUGCACAAAAACAAGUAAGUUAAGUGCAGUCAACCCAACUAAUGUCGUUGACCGCAGUUAGGCCAACAACAUCGCUCCGCCCGAAUUGCUGAUCAAGCAAUGGGGCGGAUGCUCAUGCACAGUCGGCAAGCUCAGCAUAUUUGCGUGGCCGCUGUGAGUCUCUGUUAGCUUUAAGUCCUUUUUAUAUUCAGUUUGUAUUGAUAAUUUGAAUAAGCAGCACCAGCUCUCGAUUUAUUGAAACUCACUCCAUCAUAAGUAACUAACCGGAAUUCCGUGUCGAGACAGCGGGAAGGGAACCUCUAUAGUGGAUAUAAUUAAUUAGUAUAAUAAUAAAUAUAGCAGCAAGAAUAAUAAUAAUAAGCUUAAGAUCACUGCUGUAAUUAUGUAAGUAAACGCAUAUUUUAUAAGAGAGUAAGUUGAAAUGCAACUCUGAAAACUAGAGAGCUGAGGUACAGAACGAAGAGAGAGUCAUUAGUCGUUUGGUAAUUCGUCAGUGUGUACGCGAAAAUAAAGACUUCUGAAAAACCAACAAACCCAACAAAUACUUUUUAAAUAAUUACAUCACUCGAAACCCUACGAAUUCAGAAAUGGGCGUAACAAAAAUGAUAAACGUUUUAGAGUUAAGCUCAGUGUUGGUAGUGCAGUUUAAGAGAUGGUUGGAA